AUCUUUCUAGUAUAAAUUUAGUACAAGUGGCCUCCAACCAUUUAAUCUUGGUUAAACCCCAAGGAAAGAUA
Molecule: transfer RNA, 71 nt
Filed under: Rasbora pauciperforata (red-stripped rasbora)
Lineage: Eukaryota; Metazoa; Chordata; Actinopteri; Cypriniformes; Danionidae
Description: tRNA-Gly
Rfam family: tRNA
About the family: Transfer RNA (tRNA) molecules are approximately 80 nucleotides in length.
Source: RNAcentral